RNAcentral lists this ribosomal RNA (119 nucleotides) under Triticum aestivum (bread wheat). The record is from RNAcentral. Lineage: Eukaryota; Viridiplantae; Streptophyta; Magnoliopsida; Poales; Poaceae.
GGAUGCGAUCAUACCAGCACUAAAGCACCGGAUCCCAUCAGAACUUCGAAGUUAAGCGUGCUUGGGCGAGAGUAGUACUAGGAUGGGUGACCUCCUGGGAAGUCCGCGUGUUGCAUUCC